This 366-nucleotide ribosomal RNA is filed under the name uncultured eukaryote. RNAcentral's name for it is "partial 18S ribosomal RNA". It matches the Rfam family "Eukaryotic small subunit ribosomal RNA", at positions 592 to 976 of the family's 1831-position model. The record is from RNAcentral.
CGCAAGUGUAUUCCUAUACUGUUGCGUUUAAAUAGCUCGUAGUUGGAUCUGCGUGUUUAGCGCGCGGUGCUGCUUUCUUGCAGCUACUGUGACGCGACACUGUACGUUGACUACAUACUUCGUAAGUACGUAGACAACAAGUUUACUUUGAACAAAUCAGAGUGCUCAAAACGGGCGUUUCGCUCGAAUGUUCUUGCAUGGAAUAAUGGAAUAGGGCCGCGCGUUCUAUUUUGUUGGUUUUCGGGACGCGGGUAAUGAUUAAGAGGGACAGACGGGGGCAUUUGUACUGCGACGUGAGAGGUGAAAUUCUUGGAUCGUCGCAAGACAGACUACUGCGAAAGCAUUUGCCAAGAAUGUUUUCAUUAA